Molecule: ribosomal RNA, 474 nt
Filed under: uncultured bacterium
Lineage: Bacteria
Description: bacterial SSU rRNA
Rfam family: Bacterial small subunit ribosomal RNA
Source: RNAcentral
GAUCCUGGCUCAGAACGAACGCUGGCGGCAUGCCUUACACAUGCAAGUCGAACGGCAGCACGGGUGCUUGCACCUGGUGGCGAGUGGCGAACGGGUGAGUAAUACAUCGGAACGUACCUUAUCGUGGGGGAUAACGCAGCGAAAGCUGUGCUAAUACCGCAUACGCCCUGAGGGGGAAANCGGGGGAUCGAAAGACCUCGCGCGAUUAGAGCGGCCGAUGCCUGAUUAGCUUGUUGGUGGGGUAAAAGCCCACCAAGGCGACGAUCAGUAGCUGGUCUGAGAGGACGAUCAGCCACACUGGGACUGAGACACGGCCCAGACUCCUACGGGAGGCAGCAGUGGGGAAUAUUGGACAAUGGGCGAAAGCCUGAUCCAGCAAUGCCGCGUGAGUGAUGAAGGCCUUCGGGUUGUAAAGCUCUUUUACCAGGGAUGAUAAUGACAGUACCUGGAGAAUAAGCUCCGGCUAACUCCGUG